RNAcentral lists this ribosomal RNA (495 nucleotides) under uncultured bacterium. RNAcentral's name for it is "partial 16S ribosomal RNA". It matches the Rfam family "Bacterial small subunit ribosomal RNA", at positions 28 to 507 of the family's 1533-position model. The record is from RNAcentral.
GACGAACGCUGGCGGCGUGCCUAAUACAUGCAAGUAGAACGCUGAAGGAGGAGCUUGCUCUUCUGGAUGAGUUGCGAACGGGUGAGUAACGCGUAGGUAACCUGCCUGGUAGCGGGGGAUAACUAUUGGAAACGAUAGCUAAUACCGCAUAAGAGUAGAUGUUGCAUGACAUUUGCUUAAAAGGUGCAAUUGCAUCACUACCAGAUGGACCUGCGUUGUAUUAGCUAGUUGGUGGGGUAACGGCUCACCAAGGCGACGAUACAUAGCCGACCUGAGAGGGGGAUCGGCCACACUGGGACUGGGACACGGCCCAGACUCCUACGGGAGGCAGCAGGAGGGAAUCUUCGGCAAUGGACGGAAGUCUGACCGAGCAACGCCGCGGGAGUGAAGAAGGUUUUCGGAUCGUAAAGCUCUGUUGUAAGAGAAGAACGAGUGUGAGAGUGGAAAGUUCACACUGUGACGGUAUCUUACCAGAAAGGGACGGCUAACUACGUG